CUAGCGGUGCGUUUAAUACAUGCAAGUCGAGCGCCCGGUUUACCGGGGAGCGGCAGACGGCUGAGUAACACGUUGGUACCUGCCCGAUACUCGAGGAUAGCUCGGAGAAAUCCGGAUUAAUACUCGAUAGUUCCCUACGGGGUAAAGAUUUAUCGGUAUCGGAGGGGCCUGCGGCCUAUCAGUUAGUUGGUGAGGUAACGGCUCACCAAGACAAUGACGGGUAGCUGGUGUGAGAGCACGACCAGCCAGAAUGGGACUGAGACACGGCCCAUACUCC
RNAcentral lists this ribosomal RNA (277 nucleotides) under uncultured bacterium. RNAcentral describes it as "partial 16S ribosomal RNA". It matches the Rfam family "Bacterial small subunit ribosomal RNA", at positions 36 to 339 of the family's 1533-position model. The record is from RNAcentral.